GCAUCGCGUAGCGAGGCGGUGCGUGCAGGGCAUGCUCAGCCCGCAGCAGUUCGCGGGUACUGGAGGUUCUAGUCCGCCGCCAUGCC
This 86-nucleotide transfer RNA is filed under the name Pseudomonas citronellolis. RNAcentral describes it as "tRNA-Ser". The record is from RNAcentral. Lineage: Bacteria; Pseudomonadati; Pseudomonadota; Gammaproteobacteria; Pseudomonadales; Pseudomonadaceae.